RNAcentral lists this microRNA precursor (64 nucleotides) under Mus musculus (house mouse). Its description in RNAcentral is "Mmu-Mir-667_pre stem-loop". It matches the Rfam family "mir-667 microRNA precursor family", at positions 15 to 76 of the family's 92-position model. RNAcentral also lists the same sequence under 1 other name. The record is from RNAcentral. Lineage: Eukaryota; Metazoa; Chordata; Mammalia; Rodentia; Muridae.
CGGUGCUGGUGGAGCAGUGAGCACGCCAUACAUUAUAUCUGUGACACCUGCCACCCAGCCCAAG